Schistosoma rodhaini is the source of this 45-nucleotide non-coding RNA. Lineage: Eukaryota; Metazoa; Platyhelminthes; Trematoda; Strigeidida; Schistosomatidae. The record is from Rfam.
AUCACGCUGACGAGUCCUAAGUAGGACGAAACGCGCGUUCUGGAU